GGGUCAGUAGGUUGGUCGUGCCACCGGUACGUACUGGCCUCACUGAUUCCUCCUUCCUGAAGAACCGUAAUGCCAUUAAUUUGGUGUUGCGGGGAAGCAGGACUGUUACUUUGAAAAAAUUAGAGUGUUUAAAGCAAGCUAACGCUUGAAUACAUUAGCAUGGAAUAAUGAAAUAGGACGAUCGAUCCUAUUUUGUUGGUUUCUAGGAUUGACGUA
This 216-nucleotide ribosomal RNA is filed under the name Glomeromycotina sp. Its description in RNAcentral is "partial small subunit ribosomal RNA". The stretch from base 40 to 216 matches the Rfam family "Eukaryotic small subunit ribosomal RNA", at positions 686 to 864 of the family's 1831-position model. The record is from RNAcentral. Lineage: Eukaryota; Fungi; Glomeromycota.